This 278-nucleotide ribosomal RNA is filed under the name uncultured bacterium. Its description in RNAcentral is "partial 16S ribosomal RNA". It matches the Rfam family "Bacterial small subunit ribosomal RNA", at positions 506 to 784 of the family's 1533-position model. The record is from RNAcentral.
UGCCAGCAGCCGCGGUAAUACGUAAGUGGCAAGCAUUAUCCGGAUUUACUGGGCAUAAAGCGCACGCAGGUGGUAGUUUAAGUCAGGUGUAAAAGGCUAUAGCUCAACUAUAGUAAGCAUUUGAAACUGAAUUACUCGAGAUCAGGAGAGGGAAGCGGAACUCAUAGUGUAGCGGUGAAAUGCGUAGAUAUUAUGAGGAACACCAGUGGCGAAGGCGGCUUCCUGGACUGAUUCUGACACUGAGGUGCGAAAGCAUGGGGAGCGAACGGGAUUAGAUA